This 253-nucleotide ribosomal RNA is filed under the name uncultured bacterium. RNAcentral's name for it is "partial 16S ribosomal RNA". It matches the Rfam family "Bacterial small subunit ribosomal RNA", at positions 524 to 776 of the family's 1533-position model. The record is from RNAcentral.
UACAUGGGGUGCAAACGUUGCUCGGAAUCAUUGGGCGUAAAGCGCGCGUAGGCGGUUACUUAAGUUGGAUGUGAAAGCCCUCGGCUUAACUGAGGAAGUGCAUCCAAAACUGAGUAGCUAGAGUACGAAAGAGGGUCGCGGAAUUCCCGGUGUAGAGGUGAAAUUCGUAGAUAUCGGGAGGAACAUCGGUGGCGAAGGCGGCCUGCUGGGCUGUUGCUGACGCUGAGGCGCGACAGCGUGGGGAGCAAACAGG